UAGCAUGAACAUGCUCGAAGAGGGUCUGCGCUUUACGGCCAUGCGCAUGUAUCUUUUCAUGUGUGUUAUUAGGGAACAGCUCACUUCCCACAGUCGCGGCCUCACGACUACACGCAUAUAGGUGAAUUUUAAAAAGGGUACGAGCAAGUAGGUAUCCUGCCUCAUGGGUCUCGGAUUCAUUAAGAGUAAAAACUCAACCUAACCCUUGCUUUUUAUGAGCACUGUUGCCCUAGGGAUGGGAAAAA
This 245-nucleotide long non-coding RNA is filed under the name Phoenix dactylifera (date palm). RNAcentral's name for it is "long non-coding RNA (PDAC_LNC011837)". Lineage: Eukaryota; Viridiplantae; Streptophyta; Magnoliopsida; Arecales; Arecaceae. The record is from RNAcentral.